AAACAAAGAAAAUAGUUCAUUAAUUACAUGCUUACAUGAAAUGCGUCACAGCACAAAUAAUUCAUAUCACGGAUUGGACCAACCCCAAAACAUCCCUAAGCUAUUUGUCCGGCCCCCUGAAAGGUGCCACAGGACUUCGUAAUGCCUGGCCCAGCCAGGUCUUAUCCAUAGGGCUAGUGAGGUCGUCCUCGGUCCAAUCUCCAAUAACAGUAAAUAAUGCAAUGCGUCAUAUUCGUGUAACUAGUGCAAUCAACCUAUUACAUAUAAACAUGAUGCAUGAGCAUGGUUUAGGCAUUUGAUUUUGUAAAAUAAAAGAUUUAGUUUAGUUCUACUCACCUCUGGCAGACGCUGAACUGACUCUGCAACAGCUAACACUGAUGGCCUUCUCGGUCCCUCGGGUCCGAUCCUACACAGGUGGACUCGAAUGAGGUGCCAACACACUUUAAACAACUCAUAAACAACUACCCAAAAACCCCCUAAAACAUCACUUAAACAUGCAUAGAAAACAACCUUGAAAAGGCUGGACAGGGCACUUUUGGCGGCACCUUCGACGGCCGAACCCUCCCUCUAGAGAUGAAACUCGGGCACUUUCGGCGGCACCUUCGGCGGCCGAAAGUCCCUCUCCAGAGACGAAAGUCAAGCACUUUCGGCGGCCAAACCUUUCUUCGGCGGCCGAAAGUCUGCUUUCAAGCCAAAACUCAACUUUCGAGGGCAAGGUUAGGCGGCCAAACCAUGCAUCCAUAGGCAGGUUCGGCGGCCGAAAGCCCUUUCGGCGGCCGAACCUGAGUUCUCCCAAGAAGGGCAGAACUCAGCUCUCACAUGCACAACAGCCCCCAAACCUUUACUAAACACCCGAAAACGAGCAACCAACCUCCUAAAAACAUUCAUAAACCCUUAACCAUGCACAAAGGAGCUUAAACAAACUUAAACUCCAACAAAGAACAUCAUAAAGCACAUAUGAAUAGCUUAUGACUCACAUAAGCCAAAACCAACAAAAACAACCCAUAACCUCAUUUGCUCUUUCACAAUCAUGCAUACACUCUCCCACAUGCAUAACCUAGCCUAAACAUUCAACAUAGCAUCAUAUAAACAUACAUGAGCAUCACAUAACAUACAUUGGGCAUAAAACCCACAUAAACCUAAACAUGCAUAUCUACCCAUACUUAACCAUUAAAACCUCUUAAAACUUACUUAAACUUCAUGAAACAUAAAGGAAAGCAUAGAUCCACACUUACCUCUUGAAGAUCGAGGGUUUGUGUGAGCUUUAACUUGGAGAUGGGAGGAAACUACUCCUUGGGUCUCCAAGCUCCCAAAACUUGAUCUAAGCUUGAAAACUCUUCAAAACAGCCAUAAAACUCAUGAAAACAUGAAGGAGAUGAAGAAAAACAUGAAAAUGACCAAAGGAGGACAUGAACUCACCUGAGCUCGAGAAUGGGGAGAAAACUCGCCCAUUUCCGAUCUGAGGGCUCUUUAUAGGUGGCCUGGUCAAAGACCUUCCGCAGCCUAACGUGCCCCCUAAACUCAUGCAUGUUAGGCGGCCGAACUUGAGGUUCAGCGGCUGAACCUUGGCUCGUUCAAACAAGACUUUCGGAGACCAAAAGCGCUCCCAAAACCUUUCCAUGUUCGGCGGCCGAACUUCACUUUCGGCGGCCGAACCUGGCAAACGCCUCCUUGGUCUUUUCUUUUCAAAACUCAAUUCUUUUCCAUUUAAAACCAUGAAAUCAGUAAAAACAUUUUAGAAAACACAUUUUACCCCUCUAGAAGCCUCUGGCAUCUUCAGAAUUCCCGACUCCAACGGAGAUUCCGCCGGAAGGUAAGGAUUCCGAUGCCGGAAUGUAGCCGGGUAUUACAUUCUUCCCCCCUUUAAGAACAUUCGUCCCCGAAUGUUGCACAAACAAACAGGCACUGCAUAAAACAUAACAUCAAUCAUACAUGAACAUGCAAGUAAACAAGCAAGCAAAACCUAAAACCUCUCUCUAAAGAGAGACAUAGGUACUGCUGGAGUAUAAACUCCCGGGUUUCUCAGGCACACCUUUUACCAAAAGAAACACCUUAGCAAUACCCAACCUACUCCUGAACUCCACAUGCUUUCACUGCGCUACUCUGAUCCUUACUCUUUUCUCUUCAUCUUCACUAACUGGCUUCUUCUCACUGCUAACCCAAAACUAACUCUAACUCUCACAGGUAGUACCCGAAUUUCAGAUCUAUCUUGGAAAAUAACCAGCUCCUACUAGCUGUUCCAAUAGGUCAUCCAUCUUGCACGAGAAAUACCUGCCCUUGGUAGUGACCUUGUUCAACUGCCUGUAGUUGACACAGGGUCCCAAGGAUCCAUCCUGCUUUUCCCACAACAACACUGGAGCAAUCCAGGGUGAGGUACUAGGUCGGAUAAAACCCUUGUCUACCAAGUCGCACAACUGCUUCAACAACUCCUACAACUCUGCAGGUACCAUCCUGUAGAGAAAGAUAGAGAUGAACCUGAUGCUAGGCAUCACUUCUAUUUCCAAACUCUAUCUCUCUAGCAGGUGGUAAACCUGACAGCUCACCUGGGAAGACAUCUAGAACUCUUUCUAACAACUGGCUCUGAGGCUGGUUCCCUGACCCGACUGCUAAACUCUCAAACAAGAACUAAAACCCUCUGACAAUCCCUCCUAUGCACCCUACGAACCUGACAGGUUGACAUCAAACCUCGAGGCAUCCCUACUGUGUUCCCUCAGAAGACUACCUCUGAUCCAUCCUAUCCUCAGAAUCUGACUACCUUGUCUCAGCAGACUAAGAUAGCACCACGAGCAGAAAAACCCAAUCCAACCCUAAACUGACGUCCAGACAGUCAAGUCUAGGACCUCAAAGUCGGGUGGAAGGCAUCUACCCCCAACUGACACAGAACUGGACCGGCAGACUAACUCUGCCACAGAUGGAUCACACUCGGGUCCACUGACCCAAAGAGAACACUCUAGCCCAGAAGCUAUCAACUCAACCUCUCGACGGCUCCUAGAGCAACUAAAGAAAGAGAAAAACACUAGGGUUCACAAAAACAUACACAUCAGAACAUUCAAAAGUGAGCAUACCUGGCACCACUGUGUUUGAUGUGUCUGCCUCCUGCCGAGCUUGGGUGAAGAUCCGAGCUGGAGCUGACGGACCUUCUCCACGGGAACCUGAGGAAUGAGGGACUGACCCUCUUCCUCUGCCUCGACCACUAAUCUGAAACAUGGCUGAGGCUGCUGGCUGAGACUGUACUACCCGGGGCACAGUAGGACACUCACGUGCUAUGUGUCCUUCCUGUCCACACCUGUAAUAAGCUGUCGUCCCAACCCGACAGACUCCUUUGUGCGGCCUUCCGCACCUCAAGCACCUUGAACUGCCUAAGCCAGAGCUUGAGCCACCAAAACCCAGACUAGCCUUCAAACGAUUCCAAAACUUACUCUUCUUUAACCUUCUCAGGCCUCUGCCCCCCUUUUUAGUGGUGUUUCCCCACCUUUUAUCUCUUGAGGCAGCUGUACUCAGAGUGGAGGGAUCAAUCCCUCCUGAUCCUGAGAUCCUAGAAUCCUGAGUCUGAGCAUCCUCCUGAGAAUCUCCCAUACCUUCCUCUGGUACUCUGACUCCCAAACUGACAUCUCUUCUCUGAACACCCAACUCUACUUCCCUCAUACUAGCUGACAUCCUUCUUGGAGCCAUUCCUUCUCUGCUUGCAUCAAAAGACCUUCCAGGGUCCCUCGAUGUUCCCCAUCUGCUGACUCCCCACGACUGCGCUCUUGGCAGAGCAGGGGGAAAGGUGUCCAAACCUUCCCUCUCAGAUGGAACUCUAGUCGAUUCCACAGAUCGACGAGCAUCUCGCAUUCUGGCUCCUCUAAAGAACAACACACAAGCAUACAAACAUUAGCAUCAUAUGGUUCAGGUGGAAACACAUGAACCACAACAUACAUGCAUACAUAGCAUAACAUUAAUGCACAUGCAUAAAAUCAUAGCAUUCCAUAUCAUCAUACAAGACAGGACUCAACAUCCAAUCCUAGUGGACAUGAUUUUACUUAUUGUGCUUGCCCUUCUAUGACCUCUAAACCAACCUCUUUCCGAUGCGCAACACACCGUACUCUUGAGGCCCAAAGCUUUGAUACCACUCUGUAACGACCCGGAAACCGGUACCCCCUAUGUAACGGCCCGAACCGCCACCGGCGCUAGGAUCCAGAUCGGCUUAAGGCCGCCGGGACCGGUAGCAAGCCAAACAUACCUCCUACCACCUGGUCAAAUCCCAUACAAGAUCAAAACUUAAACAUAAAAGCUUAACCUCUGAUGUAAAUACCGAGCUUGACCUGUAUGCAACAUAACUGGAAACAUGAAGUACCCCCUACUAGAGCCCUCAUCAAAACUCUAGCUGGGUCAACAUAACAUACAUCAAGCCGGAGUCACAUCCAAAGAACUAGAACCUAACCUGUGCAUGCAUCAAAACCACAAACAUAAGACCUCCACUAGGGUCCUCAUCAAACACUAGCGUGGUAAACAACACAUGCCACCAGUUUAGUUCAAACACAACUCAACAUCUAAAACAUUACAUACAUCAUGUAUUAAAUAGGGACUAACCAAGUCUUAGGGCCAAGCACAGUUCUAAUCCAUAAACAUAACUCUACUUUACUUUACAUUACAAUACAUUAUCUCAAUUUACAUUACAUGUCCACACUAAAACACUAAUCUAAUACUAUUACAUAAGCAUGACUUUUUACCCUUGACGUCUUCCUGGCCUACCUCUGACCUGCAAAACUGGGUUUAGGGGAGAGGGGUGAGCUAAAGAGCCUAGUGAGUAGAAACAAAGAAAACAGUUCAUUAAUUACAUGCUUUCAUGAAAUGCGUCACAGCACAAAUAAUUCAUAUCACGGAUUGGACCAACCCCAAAACAUCCCUAAGCUAUUUGCCCGGCCCCCUGAAAGGUGCCACAGGACUUCGUAAUGCCUGGCCCAGCCAGGUCUUAUCCAUAGGGCUAGUGAGGUCGUCCUCGGUCCAAUCUCCAAUAACAGUAAAUAAUGCAAUGCGUCAUAUUCGUGUAACUAGUGCAAUCAACCUAUUACAUAUAAACAUGAUGCAUGAGCAUGCU
Molecule: long non-coding RNA, 5080 nt
Filed under: Manihot esculenta (cassava)
Lineage: Eukaryota; Viridiplantae; Streptophyta; Magnoliopsida; Malpighiales; Euphorbiaceae
Description: long non-coding RNA (MESC_LNC010512)
Source: RNAcentral